This 72-nucleotide transfer RNA is filed under the name Camelus bactrianus (Bactrian camel). It matches the Rfam family "tRNA". Rfam says of the family: Transfer RNA (tRNA) molecules are approximately 80 nucleotides in length. Their secondary structure includes four short double-helical elements and three loops (D, anti-codon, and T loops). The record is from Rfam by way of RNAcentral. Lineage: Eukaryota; Metazoa; Chordata; Mammalia; Artiodactyla; Camelidae. RNAcentral also lists the same sequence under 2 other names.
GGAGGGAUAGCUCAGUGGUAGAGUGCCUGCUUAGCAUGUAUGAGGUCCUGGGUUCAAUCCCCAGUACCUCCA